This 91-nucleotide microRNA precursor is filed under the name Otolemur garnettii (small-eared galago). RNAcentral's name for it is "miRNA (ENSOGAG00000027059.1)". Lineage: Eukaryota; Metazoa; Chordata; Mammalia; Primates; Galagidae. The record is from RNAcentral.
AUCUUGCUGGGGCCUCCAGAAAUGUUGUGACUCACACAGCUGAGAAAGAGACUCGGACUCCACUUGGUGCAAGGAUCAAUAGUAAUUUAUU